This 247-nucleotide unclassified non-coding RNA is filed under the name Hevea brasiliensis (rubber tree). The record is from RNAcentral. Lineage: Eukaryota; Viridiplantae; Streptophyta; Magnoliopsida; Malpighiales; Euphorbiaceae.
ACCUUGCGUUUGAGAUUGUAGCGAUGCCAAUCUGACUUGUAAUGGAGCUUUUGUUCGACAUCGCCAUGGAAUUCUUUAUUACAAGCGUUGCAAGUUAACCCUGGCAUUUCUUUUCUUCUUCUUCUUCGAUUUGAGUUUUAACUCCUAUUAGUCCCAACUGCGUGAAGAUGUUAUAAGGGAAGGAAAAUAUACGACGGUUCGUUGUCGUAGUCGUAGUCGGCGUCGGCGAGACGGUGGUAUUAUACUC